Molecule: ribosomal RNA, 216 nt
Filed under: Campeiostachys nutans
Lineage: Eukaryota; Viridiplantae; Streptophyta; Magnoliopsida; Poales; Poaceae
Description: Elymus nutans partial small subunit ribosomal RNA
Rfam family: Eukaryotic small subunit ribosomal RNA (bases 28-216)
Source: RNAcentral
GGGUCAGUAGGUUGGCCAUGCCACUGGUAUGUACUGAUCUCACUGAUUCCUCCUUCCUGAUGAGCCGUAAUGCCAUUAAUUUGGUGUUGCGGGGAAUUUGGACUGUUACUUUGAAAAAAUUAGAGUGUUUAAAGCAAGCUAACGCUUGAAUACAUUAGCAUGGAAUAAUGAAAUAGGACGUUCGAUCCUAUUUCGUUGGUUUCUAGGAUCUCAGUA